GAUGAAGAACGUAGCGAAAUGCGAUAAGUAAUGUGAAUUGCAGAAUUCAGUGAAUCAUCGAAUCUUUGAACGCACAUUGCGCCCCCUGGUAUUCCGGGGGGCAUGCCUGUCCGAGCGUCAUUACAACCCUCAAGCUCAGCUUGGUGUUGGGCCCCGCCGCCCCGGCGGGCCCUAAAGUCAGUGGCGGUGCCGUCCGGCUCCGAGCGUAGUAAUUCUUCUCGCUCUGGAGGUCCGGUCGUGUGCUCGCCAGCAACCCCCAAUUUUGUUCAGGUUGACCUCGGAUCAGGUAGGGAUACCCGCUGAACUUAAGCAUAUCAAUAAGCGGAGGA
RNAcentral lists this unclassified non-coding RNA (329 nucleotides) under soil metagenome. Its description in RNAcentral is "partial contains 5.8S ribosomal RNA, internal transcribed spacer 2, and large subunit ribosomal RNA". The stretch from base 1 to 120 matches the Rfam family "5.8S ribosomal RNA", at positions 35 to 154 of the family's 154-position model. The record is from RNAcentral.